Rattus norvegicus (Norway rat) is the source of this 10101-nucleotide non-coding RNA. NCBI's taxonomy places the organism in Eukaryota, Metazoa, Chordata, Mammalia, Rodentia, Muridae. The record is from RefSeq and is a predicted model, not a curated record.
GAUGCACACAGGAAGUACCUCAAAGUCACUGACUUAAAAAGUCCCACUUGGCCUGCCACUCGUGCUAUCAUGAUACAAGUUUUAGCAGUUAUUAUUAAAGACAAAGAAUGCUCCCCAUCUCUGGGCUACACAGAUGCAUCAAGAAGUCCUCUGAUGCCAAUGUUCUGCUGGGAAGCUUUGACUUUUCUAUAGAAAAGAAGACAUUUUACAAUUGAUAUUCAAUAUACCAAUCUAACUACAGAAUGCACAGCUCUCAAACAAGCAUGGCUGAUGCCAAGGGACGCAGCACUGGAAUCCUAAAUCUGUGAACUUGAAACUCCUCUGAGAAGUGAAAUGUGUAAAAAGGAAAAGUUGAAGUGUGUCCCUGCUGCCGCAAAUACAGGAAGUACACACCCAGGCCCUGUGGACACCCGCUUUCACACAAGACACUGAGCACACUCGACGGCCCCCAACUCCUCAUCUGCACCCACAUAAAGAUACUUUCAUCUCUGAGCAAUAAUAUGGAUUUUUCCAUCCCAUAAACAAACUUAUACAAUUUCUAUGCAAAUGUAUCCCACAGUAUAUACUAGCAAAAGAAUAUAGGGGUUGGUCUGCUGUAAACUGGAGUCCGAUACGUGCGCAGUAAGAGAGACUGUUCUGCAAGUGAACUUUCAGAGGCAUUCUCAGUCUUAGAAUCUUAUGCCACGUCACAACUGUGCAUGGCUAUGAUUAUAAUCACAAACUUUGAAAAAAAAUGGCUAUAUCAACUAAUUAAAAUCAAAACUUUUUAUCCGCUUGAACCCAGUACAAUGAAACCGAAAAUGACAACUGAGAGUCUUAAGAAUCCUCACGUGUCUGGACUGCUCUGAUUAUUACUAGUGUGUCCCUCUAUAAUACGUGCAUUACUCACUUCCUACAUUUGUAUGGUUUCUUACUUUGAAUAAAAGGCUAAGAACUUAGAAACACACAGCUCUAGGUAAAAUCACUAGAUCAAACACACACACACACACACACACACACACACACACACACACAAAGGAUGCACCCCAAACCAUACAAUUCAAGAUCUUUCUUUUAAAGUAAGUGUAGUCUUCACCCCUCAUCAAGGAAACUUCUUUUAGCAACAGAUAGAGACCAUUACAGAAGGCAUCCACUAAUCAAAAUGCAGGGUUGUGGAGCCCAGUCCCAAUGGAUACCUCUACAAAACAACUUCUGUAACUAAGACCCGGGAACAAUUUCAUGAGAUGAGGGCAAAAAGAUUGGAGAGCUAGAGGAUCAUGGUGUCUGCAGUGACCCUGUCUCCUAGUGAUUACAGAAGCCCUAAAAUCUCGCCAACAUGACCGCCUAAACAUGAGCAGAACAAGAGAAACAGCAAUAGAAGUGCUAAAGUGGACAGGAGCCCUUGAGGCCUCAACUCUACGCAAAGAAAGAUGUGCAGUUAAACAAUGUUGAAGUCCUAUGCUUCUGAGUGCCCAUAAACAAUCUCUCAACAAAACAAAAAGCAACGCAAAAAUAUAAAAGAGAUAGUUUCCAAUUUCUAGCUGCAUUAACUGUGUGACUAUGCUCCCUCCACCCCACCACACCAUUUCAGUAGCACAUGUUGAAUCUGCUUUCAUAGAGAGUGAUAACCAACAGUUCGAACAAGUGUAGAUAGGAUGGAUAUUAUGUUCUUAUGCUCCUUCUUAAAGGUGCGUUGCCUUUGUUGAUUAAGAGCAGAAUCCAUGCCAUAACAUAUAUGUACAUUUUUCUCAUUAGAAAAAAAAUGAUACUGUUGUCAAUCUGGGUUUAUAAAUCAUCUCGGAGGGACACUUCAUAAUUCCCCACAUGGUGCACAUUCACUACACUGUUCUUAGAAAGAAGUUAAAAUUGGAACUGGAGGGAUGGCUACUGCAGGCAAAGCUUCAUAUACACACAUAAAAGUCCAAGGAAGAGGUAAAUGUAAGGUGAGUAUCUAAUGGUUUCUCUUUUUAUCUCAUAAUAAAAAGCAUCUUUGAAAAAACUAAAGAUAAUUUUUAAAAACAGACUUGAAACUACUUUCAUAAGCCAAGCACUUUAUUGUGUGUAUAGAUUGUUUAUGGAACACCGGAAUGCGGUCAGUUUUAGGAUUCCUUCAGUGUGUGUUUACCUGAGCAUGACUGCUCUGCCUGGGUCGGUCCCAUAUGUCUAUUUCCAACUUGGGCAUCUGUAAAUCCUAAGCAUUUUAUUCAGAUUGACAGAAUCUGUAGAAUGAGUACAUGCUAUCAGGGGAUGUCACAUAGAUCUGUUUCCAAACAAGGCCUUCAGUGCUUCUGCAAUGGUGAUUGCAGAGUUUAUCGUUGGCACUUGACCUUCGCUUCUAUGGCAAAUGGCUGCAUGUGCUGUGUUAUCCUGCCCUCAAACCCCUGCCUUCUACACUUAAUCAGCUCUGGUCCUGAUAAUUGAGUUUUCUCAAGGGAAUGGAAACACCACUGUCUGUUCAGACCCCAUCCUCUAGACUAAAUAUGCCAGAUGAAGGGAAAGCCAGAAGCCCCGUCAGCCUGCUGCGAUUGCUCUUCUUGUGACCUUGGAUGAUAGUGAAACUCAGUAGCCUUCAAAUUCUAGGGGCUUCUGCUUCUUCUGAAGGGCGAGCUUACAGGCACGGUCAUUGUGUCAGAAAGUCACAGAUCCAACAAACUCCUCACUGAUAACCUUGGCCUGCCAGGCUCUAUCUGAAGAGUUGAAAGGCCAGUUAAAUCCAAAAAGAAAAAAAAAAGACAGCCAACUUCAUUUUCACAGAAAUUGUAAACCAUCGAGCCUACAAAUGCACACUCACACUUAACACUCUGAAGUAUUUCAUUUAAAGCUAAAACGCACAGCAGCUGAGUUACUUAAAAUUCAUUCUCCUGCUGUAAAAUGCCAAAAAUGUCUAUUGAUUGUAGCAAUGUUGGGAAGAAUGCCACUCUCUUAUACAUUGAUAGUGGGAAUGCAAUUUGGGGCACCCUAUUUAGAUAGCACUGUGACAAUACUUCACCAAAUCUUAUAUGUGCCAACAUUUUGAUUGAAAAAUUACACUUCCAGAAUUCUUUCCAGAAGGAUUCUUAAACAUGUACUACCAAAUCUGAGUCUGUCUUUUGCUACUUUGUAUGAAGAGCCCAAAUAUUAGCUAACAUUUUGUUCUGAAACAAAGUAUGACUCGUUAUUUAACGCUUUGCACCAACUACUGACAAAAAGUUGCCAAGGUAGUCUAUCAAGUUAAAAAAUAGCUCUCAAAAUGCAUUUAUAUAAUGGAAUUCAAUUAUAUAACAGACAAACUUGAUGUGUUUAUGAAAUUUCUCCUACACACACACACACACACACACACGUGAGCACGCAAACAUGUAAGCACACACACACAGGGAUACUAACAAGAUGUGUUCAGUUCUGAGAGUUUACCUAUCCUUGGUGGAGUAUGAUUAGGAAAUUUUUUUCACUUUUUUUUUAUUAACUUGAGUAUUUCUUAUUUACAUUUCGAAUGUUAUUCCCUUUCCCGGUUUCCAGGCCAACAUCCCCCUAACCCCUCCCCCUCCCCUUCUACAUGUGUGUUCCCCUCCCCAUCCUCCCCCCAUUGCUGCCCUCCCCCCAACAAUUAUGUUCACUGGGGGUUCAGUAGUAGCAGGACCAAGGGAGGAAAUUUUUUAAAAAUGUAACCCCUUUAUAAUAUUGAAUUGUAUUAUUUGGAUUCCAAUUAAUAUUCAUGAUGCAAUAUCACAGGAAAACUGGAGGCAUCUUCCCAGUUCAUGUAGCUGAGCAUGUUCCCAAUGGAGAGCAGGGUUCUGGGUGUGCCGGGUGAGUGCCACACACUAUAAAUGCAUUUCCUUACAUUGUUUAUUCCCUCCUUGUGCUUUUGGCAUUCAUAAAUACACUGUAAAUGUUUUAAGAAUGGGAAACAUUCUCUUUGAUCCUCAAAGUACUGAGAACCAGGGAAGAUUUCCAAGUGGAGUGUACAUUAGAGAUGGAUCUUGAAAAAGGAGAGGUUGUUAGUUGAAAAGAAAUGUUCAUACCAGGCCUAAGGUCUGGAAAGUGUAGUAACAAGCCAUUUUAGGAAGCCACAGUGAGGCCAAGAGGGUAAGGAUGCAGAGCAGUCAGAGCCCUUCGAGCAGAGCCAGAACGGGCUGCUUCCUCUGCCAAAGCCUUGGCUCUUAUGACAAGCCCUGCUGGAAAGCAGCACCCUCUUCUCUGAGGAGGCUGCGAAAGUCCAUGUGAGUAGGGGCAAUAGUGGAAAUGUAGUUAAGGAACAUGACAGCUUUCCAGUGAUUUCAACCUUGAAGAUGCUUAUCUUCCAUGGAGAGAGGGUCACAGACCUUGAGUAGCUCACAAGAGAGAUGAGAAGCUCUGAUGUCAGUCUUCCUAUCUGCCUCCUCGCUCGUAAAGCAUUCUAUAUCCUAGCCCUGGACAGAAACUGCAGAGUUGUCAAGGAGAGUCCAAGACACCCUGGGCAUUUCCCCUUUUGCUCUUAGAUGCAAUUUUAAUUUUUUACCAAGAGUAAGAGUCGUGCAUUGCAAGGGCUGCUCAUAACUGAUGGGCAGAGGCUUUCUAUGCUUUGAAGCUGUUACCCUACUCAAAAUGAUUUCAGCACACUUUUCCAUAGAGUUCAAUGUUUGUGUAGCAUCCAUUUUAUCUAGGUUUCCUUCUGCCUUUUGUUUGUCCUCAAAUACUUCUCUUUCCCUUAGGUAAACUUAGACAAGCCCAUUUAUUCCAGCACAGAACGUCAGAAAAUCUGUAGGCUCGCCCAUGUGUAAACUACAAAAUCUAGACAAAUUCCUACAGGGCCAAACCAACAGUAUUUCUGCAAGUCUUCAUGCAGUAACUGACUCCCAGGAAAAGAGGAGUCACAAGAGAGAAAAGGGUAGAAGAGAGGAGGGGAAGGAAGGGAAGAGGAAAGGAAAAAGAUACAGGAGAAAAGAAAAAGUCCGUUGUUCAGCAUUUUCCUAGUUGUAUUGUAUAAAUCCAGUGCCAAAUUUAAGUCUAUUUGUAAAUGUACAAAUAGAAAGAAAGAAAGAGAGAGAGAGAGAGAGAGAGAGAGAAAGAAAGAAAGAAAGAAAGAAAGAAAGAAAGAAGGAAAGAAAGAGAGAGAGAAAGGAAGGAAGGAAGGAAGGAAGAAAGAAAGAAAGAAAGAAAGAAAGAAAGAAAGAAAGAAAGAAAGAAAGAAAGAAGGAAAGAAAGGAAGCACAAGCAGUGGAGGAAGACGUGCAUUGCAGACGUAGGAUAGCUAGAAGAGCUGUCCUAUUCUAAGUCUAGUGGGGAAAGGGAAAGGACAAGUCUUCCUCUUUUCAGCGAGUGGGGUGAGGCCCAAAUAUAACUGAGAAUAAAUUAAAAGGAAAGCAGGAAUGCUACUUAAGAGCUUUUCAGGCUAAAGAGACUGUAUGUGCAAAGGACCUGAGGCAAACUCCCAUAGACAUGUUGGAGGAGCAGGACGGAGGCCAGUGCACUGAACAAACUGAUUCCCAGCCUCUUCAUUUGGAAGGGGUAGUGAGUUUCCUCCACAAAUUUGUUCUUUGUUUCCGUUUGCCUUUCCAACAACACCAAAAAAAAAAGUUUCUACAUGAAAGACCAGUUAACAUUAUUGCUUUUCAUUUUCCUUAGAGAGGAAAUGAAGUCUAUAGAGAUUAAAUCAAAGGCUUAAUUACAGAUCCAAGAUUAUGAUUGGACUCAGUUUUAUAUACACUGUAACAAAACCCAGUGCCAGGCAAGUUCCUUCCUGGCCACGAACUGGGUCCGAUAACCACAUGUUGGCGGCUUCAUGUUUUUGUUAAACAUCUGCAGUUCUCCAUAACAGAAAAUGUCCCCCUGCAUCCAUCAAUAGUCAACUUUCAAAUUUUUUGAUGUGGUUUCUGUUAAACAACCAUUUCUUCUGUAGUGAAAUUAUGAUAUCAUUUGUUUAUUUUUUAAUGCAUUCAACAAAUAGACCAUAAAUUAUGUUUUAAAAAUUGUUCAGGGAACUAAGAUAUAGCCAUGGAUAAAAUGUGUCUGCGUGCUGACCCCAUGAGUGCUGAAGGUUGGUGGAAGCAGCUGGCAGAAAUCAGUAUUCAGAUUACUGUGUGGCAGAGCAGAGUGCAGAGUGCGCGAGAAAUUAGUGUACCAGAUUUGAGAUAGUUUUAUUUAAUUUUUCACAAAUUUAAUACGUAUUAAAGGGAAACAAAACAAGUAAUACAGUAAAUGUUAGCAGUAUAAGCAAUGCAAUCCCUACGUUGGUUUUAAAUGUAAUGCUUACUUUGGAAAAAUCAAGCAUAUUGCACAAAGUUGGUCUGUAGAUCAGCCUGCUCUGACUGAACACACUUUACUCUUUAGGAUGAGAAGCGUUGUUGAGAAUGAACGUGGGGAUCAGCGUUCACUAGGUGAGAGUCACAGUCUCAGUCAGAAUUUGAAUCAAAAUGAGACCAGACCUCCUUUUAAGCGUAGGAGGUCACUGUUUUUUAGAACCUCUCCUCCAGAGGAGAAAGUGUCAGUUGCUGAACAUAUCUAGAAUUCUGGAGACUGGGGAGAAGUGGGCAUUGUAGGCUGCCCCUCCCAUUAGAAUAACCAGAUGUAACUUUUAUUUUUAUUUUUAAUUAUUUUAGGAUGGGUGACUACUUUGAAACCACUCCUUAUGGUCUUCUAACCGUAAUUGCAGCGGGGAACAUUGGGUGUCUUGGAAUGAAAGAAUAACCUCUCUCAGGAGAGCCAUCUAGAACACUAGCCUACAAAGUGGAACCUUGGCUCCCUCUGGUCCCUUUUGCCUGUUCCUGAGAAGUAAUUGCAGCAGAGAAAGUAUAAUGUUUGUUGGGUUUGGGGAUUCAGGCUGGGGAGAAAGUGGGAAAACAAUGGUUUGCCUGGUCACCAAGGUCUGAUAUUCCUCCCAUCGAAGAAUUUCUGAGACAGGAUUUGGCCUUCUCAUUAUGUCAAGUCCUCAACCAGAGCACCCACCCUUCAAUGGUUACAAUCUGUACUGGUACCACUCUCCAGAGUUAUAUAUGUUCUUUCUGCAAGUCAGGACAUGCAGCUCACCAGAACUGCUGUACAUUGCUGAAGGAGCACAUUUCUUGUUCUAGAGGAAUGGAAAAAAAACAAAGGGCAGAAAAGAGGAUAAUCCAGAAGAAACCAAUAGCCAGGAGAAUUCUACUGAACUCUCUGGGUUGGCCAAGCUAGAGAGCUCAGGAGGAAGCAAUAGUAGAGAGAUAGAUGAGGAGUGAAUAAGCUCUUAAGUGGAAUGAACCCCCAAAACCCUGUCAAUUGUGGCAAGGCAGGCAUAGAUAAAGAUUUCCAGGAAGUUGUAGGUUUAUUUAAAAAGGCACACAGUAGGUUGCCUAUUCAUUGCGUAGUGAGCAUAACAGGGGACAGCUGGUGCUGAGAUUUGAACAUGAAAUGUCCUCUGCAGGCUGUUGGAACUGUUUGGAAGGUUGUAGAACCUGUAAGAGAAAGAGGCUUUCAGAAGGAAGUGAGUUCCUAGGGAGUGUUUCUUGAGGUUUGGUACCCUAGCUCUAUUUCCUAUCCACUCACUGCUGCCUCUUGACUUUAAGUAGAAUGUGACCAGCUACUUCAUGUUCCUGUUGUUAUGCUGUUGUGUUCUUUGCAUUACUCCUUCUCUGCCGCCAAGCUGUCUCAACCUACCUGGACUCUACCUCCCUGCCCCAUUUCACACAUUUGAUCUGAACGAUAAAAUAAAAGAAAAUAUAAAACAAAAGAAAAUAAAAAGCAGCCACAGAUAACCUGGUUAGGAAUUAUCAAAGCCAUUACAUUUGCAUAUUAAAUUUCCUAUAUCUAAAUAGCCUUUUGAGGAACUAAUGUUGGAGUUCAUUACAGCAAAACUCUUUCAUGAAUAUAAAAAGAAAAUAUAAAAAUGAAGAAGGAAGAAGGGAAGAGAAGGAGGAAAGAAGGCAUUGAGGAAAGGGGAAGGGAGCAGGGGAAAAAGAAAAAGAGAAAUAAAAAAAGAGAAAAUGGGAGGAGAGGAGGGACAGAGGAGAAACAGAUAGAUAGAUAGAGACAUUGAUAUUUAGAAGACUCCCAGGUAUUCAGUGUGGACUUCCCUAAUCAGAAGUGGAGGAUAUGCAAAGCCUUCCUUGCCAAGAAGCCAACAUUGCUAAAAUGACAGAGUACAUAAACCACAGCCCAGUCAACAACAGUGUGGGACACCAUCCGGCCACACACAGAGAAAGCAGGCUCUCUGGACAAUGUUAUAGGAAGUAGAGAAUUGGUAAUUCUCAGAAAAUAGAUAGAGACAGAAGUGGGGAGAGGGCUGGGAAUUUGAGAAAAGACAUUUCAAAUCAUUUAGCUUGUCUAAACCAGAUGGAAGCGAAUUCCUUCCCUAACACAGCAACUUGAGGCAAAGCACAUGCCUGUCGCACAACAAACAUUUGGGUAGGGAAUAAACUGGGGCGCGCGUCCUGGGAAGCAAUGUUACCGUAACCUGUGAUCUUCUAUCAGCAUGUAGCAGGGUGCACAUCAUCAGCUGACCUCCUCAGUAUUGAAUCAGUUGGCUGGGUAUUUCUCAGUGUGGGUGGCCACAUUCCAGGGUUGGGAACAGGGCUAGAACCCCAUGGUAUGGAGCUUCAAUUCUAAAAUUCUAAGUGUCAAGAUUUGAAGGCCCAGUUGAGACUUGCUAGUUGGCUCUAGGCAUUCCUCAUAUUAGUUUAGCCAGGACUGUGGCCUAGAAAGUGAGCUGUUUUCUCCAUCUCUGUAGCAUGAACUUAGCCCAAGGCCUAUGGAGAGAUGUCCUAGGUCCAGUGAAGGGGUAUGUUAACCCAGGUGCUGGUAGACUCCCUGAGGAUGAGUGUGGGUGACAUUGCUGUCAGCCGAUGGUAGCUUCUUGGGCUCCAGCUGACAGUACCAUGGACGCUGAAGAGUUUAUGGAAGACAGAGGCAGAAGGAACAUGGACCUGCCUGUAGGCCUGCCUGGUAGAAACACCGAGAGUUCUCUUGGUCAAUAUAUGUGAGAUGUUCUCAAGACCUGGAAGGCUGUCAGUGGUGAGAUAAAAUAGACAAUGUCAUGGAGUGUGGAGAGCAGAUAGGUAGAGAGGGUUCCUGUGAUGAGCAGCAAUAAUGGUUCUCAGAGAAAAUUUUUUAUAGCUAAUGAAAUCAUUAUAAGCUUCAGUGGCACAAAGUAUCCUGAACCAGAUAUGUAUGGUGCGGUAAACUGAAAAGAAUGAUUCAUGAGAAAGAUAACGUAACAUAGCUCCAGGAAUCACUGUGAGACAGAUCUAAUCCCCAAAGAGUGAGGGGUAGAUAAUCUUAUUUGAAACAACUAUCCAUCCUUACAUGUUUAAUGUGUGCAUAUAUGUAAUAUGUAUGUGAUUUCUGCAUAUGUGUGGUGUGGAGCACAUUUCCAUACUUACUUAGCAAGUGUGUGAAGGUCAGAGAUGACCUAGAAUGUUAAUCCUUCCCUUCCUCUUGUUGGUAGCAAGUUCUCCUUGCUUGUUUGCCUCCUUGUUUGCCUUUGCAUUGCACAUACCAGGCUAGCUGGCCUGUGUGGUUCCAUGAAUUCUUCUCUUUUCUCUUCCCAUCUUGCAUUAAAGGCAAUGGAAUUACAGAUGCAGGCUACUUCCUGUGUGUGUUUUACAGAAAGUCUGGGAAUGUGAAUUUAGCUUCUUACACUUAUGUGGCAAGCCCUUUACCCUUUGAGGCACCUUUCCAAUCCUAUCCUCAUUUUAACUAAGUCACAAAGCUACAUAUCAGCUAGAGGUCACAUAGCCUGUGAUUUCUGUUUUGACUAUAGAAGGAUCAUGCUGAAUAGAAGAAAUAGAUCCAGAGUCAAACUCUGAAUCCUGGAGUCACUUACUGAUUAGGUAUUUGUGUUGAUAACAGCAUCAUCUGUAGCAAAACACAAUGCAUAUUAAGCAAUAAGUAAAUGUUGGCCAUUGAUAGGCUUGCUGGUCAUAUGACACUGAAAGCCUCUGUAGGAGAAGCUGGGUCUGAAAUCUAAUCUGAUGCACAAAGCAGAAUUUAUAUCUCUUUCUGUUAAAGCCCUACCUUGAGAGCAAUUCUCCAGUCUGAAUUUUCAUCCAGCAUGGGAUUUUCUGCAGAACUAGCUACUCUAUGAAUGGUGUUGCAUUUUCUUGCAUUCUCAUCUGGAAACUUUUUGAACAUCCAGUCUUAAUUGAUUAAGGCUAGGUAAGAUGGGAGAGUACACCACACUCAAUAAAUAGUGUUGUU